This 253-nucleotide ribosomal RNA is filed under the name uncultured bacterium. RNAcentral's name for it is "partial 16S ribosomal RNA". It matches the Rfam family "Bacterial small subunit ribosomal RNA", at positions 524 to 776 of the family's 1533-position model. The record is from RNAcentral.
UACGUAGGGCGCAAGCGUUGUCCGGAAUUAUUGGGCGUAAAGAGCUCGUAGGCGGUUUGUCGCGUCUGCUGUGAAAACCUAAGGCUCAACCUUGGGCUUGCAGUGGGUACGGGCAGACUAGAGUGCGGUAGGGGUGACUGGAAUUCCUGGUGUAGCGGUGGAAUGCGCAGAUAUCAGGAGGAACACCGAUGGCGAAGGCAGGUCACUGGGCCGCAACUGACGCUGAGGAGCGAAAGCAUGGGGAGCAAACGGG